AUCAAUGGUUGAGAUGAUGCUUACGCUAGAACAUAACCUAUAAAGAAUAUUCUAUCUAUACCGCACAUCGAUAAAAUAACACCUGGAAACGCAUCACAAAGAAUAAACCAGUAACAAUGAGUAACCAGUAACAAAGAGUAACAAUGCAGCCAUGUUAGAAAUGGACACAUACUCAUUUGAGUGAACACAGAGUGCAUGGAACUCAGAGGCCAUAAUUUAG
Non-coding RNA from Pelobates cultripes (western spadefoot toad), 220 nucleotides. NCBI's taxonomy places the organism in Eukaryota, Metazoa, Chordata, Amphibia, Anura, Pelobatidae. The record is from the annotation of a GenBank genome assembly.